ACUGGGCACAGUGGUGUAUGCCUGUAAUCCCAGUGACUCAGGAGGUUGAGGCAGGAGGGCAAGUUUGAGGCCAGCCUCGGCAAUUUAGAAAGACCCUGUCUCAA
RNAcentral lists this small RNA (104 nucleotides) under Marmota monax (woodchuck). The record is from RNAcentral. Lineage: Eukaryota; Metazoa; Chordata; Mammalia; Rodentia; Sciuridae.